RNAcentral lists this ribosomal RNA (407 nucleotides) under Umbilicaria tylorrhiza. RNAcentral's name for it is "partial 18S ribosomal RNA". Lineage: Eukaryota; Fungi; Ascomycota; Lecanoromycetes; Umbilicariales; Umbilicariaceae. The record is from RNAcentral.
AGAAGUAAAAGUCGUAACAAGGUUUCCUAUCUGGAGCAACGUUGAUCCUUCUUAGGUAUUCUUGGUCAUUUAGAGGAAGUAAAAGUCGUAACAAGGUUCGCCAGCGUAGGUGACGGCAACAAAACUCGCUUCACCCCGGAAGCGAGUGCACGUUUACCUAUGGAAGCCUUGCAGUUCAGUCUAUCUCGGAUAGGCAACACCGCCAUGAUGACUGGGACCUUACUGCAACCGGUAAGCACCAGCAKCUGCUAACGCGGCUCACAGAUCAAACGUCGGUGGCUCAGUGGGGUUGCGGUCYGACGCUGCUGGAGACGCCCCCCGCCCCUGAGUUGARAGAUGACCGGCCUCAUCACGCAAGUGAUCGGGAACUGACGCGUUCCGUAGGUGAACCUGCGGAAGGAUCAUUA